AGGGUAUAGACCCGAAACCCGGUGAUCUAGCCAUGGGCAGGUUGAAGGUUGGGUAACACUAACUGGAGGACCGAACCGACUAAUGUUGAAAAAUUAGCGGAUGACUUGUGGCUGGGGGUGAAAGGCCAAUCAAACCGGGAGAUAGCUGGUUCUCCCCGAAAGCUAUUUAGGUAGCGCCUCGUGAAUUCAUCUUCGGGGGUAGAGCACUGUUUCGGCUAGGGGGUCAUCCCGACUUACCAACCCGAUGCAAACUACGAAUACCGAAGAAUGUUAUCACGGGAGACACACGGCGGGUGCUAACGUCCGUCGUGAAGAGGGAAACAACCCAGACCGCCAGCUAAGGUCCCAAAGUCAUGGUUAAGUGGGAAACGAUGUGGGAAGGCACAGACAGCCAGGAUGUUGGCUUAGAAGCAGCCAUCAUUUAAAGAAAGCGUAAUAGCUCACUGGUCGAGUCGGCCUGCGCGGAAGAUGUAACGGGGCUAAACCAUGCACCGAAGCUGCGGCAGCGACACUAUGUGUUGUUGGGUAGGGGAGCG
RNAcentral lists this ribosomal RNA (536 nucleotides) under Klebsiella pneumoniae subsp. pneumoniae. Its description in RNAcentral is "partial 23S ribosomal RNA". It matches the Rfam family "Bacterial large subunit ribosomal RNA", at positions 704 to 1238 of the family's 2925-position model. Lineage: Bacteria; Pseudomonadati; Pseudomonadota; Gammaproteobacteria; Enterobacterales; Enterobacteriaceae. The record is from RNAcentral.